This 405-nucleotide long non-coding RNA is filed under the name Microtus ochrogaster (prairie vole). RNAcentral's name for it is "Prostate cancer antigen RNA 3 conserved region 2 (ENSMOCG00000010733.1)". It matches the Rfam family "Prostate cancer antigen RNA 3 conserved region 2". The record is from RNAcentral. Lineage: Eukaryota; Metazoa; Chordata; Mammalia; Rodentia; Cricetidae.
UCCCUUUGACCCAUUAUUGCAGACUUUAAAAACAAGCAUGUUUUCAAAUGGUACUGUGAGCUGCCAAUGAUGUAUCGCCCCACAUCUCAUUAUUCUCCCCUAAAUGCGAUAAUAAUGUGAUCUGUUAACAUAAAAAGUUUGGCUCCGCAGAAGCAGCUGGAAAUGGACAACCACAAUAUGCAUAAACCCGGCGUUUACCAUCGGCUGCACACUGCUCGACACAUAUUGUUAGAGGCACCUCACAUUGGUGGGUCUCGUAAGCAAAAUACUUGCAUUAGGUCUCAGCUGGCGCUGGGCAUCAGACAGUUUGGGAAAUGUGCAAUUCUCAGCAGAAGCCGGCAUACACGUCCGCACAUCUUUUAGGAAUUGAUUAUGAGGUCUGUGAGGACGGAGGCAGCUCAGGUG